This 253-nucleotide ribosomal RNA is filed under the name uncultured bacterium. RNAcentral describes it as "partial 16S ribosomal RNA". It matches the Rfam family "Bacterial small subunit ribosomal RNA", at positions 524 to 776 of the family's 1533-position model. The record is from RNAcentral.
UACGGAGGGUGCGAGCGUUGUCCGGAUUUACUGGGCGUAAAGAGCGCGCAGGCGGUCGUCCAAGUCGCGUGUGAAAGCCCCCGGCUCAACUGGGGAGGGUCACGCGAUACUGGUCGACUCGAAGGCAGGAGAGGGUAGUGGAAUUCCCGGUGUAGUGGUGAAAUGCGCAGAUAUCAGGAGGAACACCAGUGGCGAAGGCGGUGCUCUGGGCCGGAACUGACGCUGAGGAGCGAAAGCGUGGGGAGCAAACAGG